UCCUGUCCGGCAGAGAGCGCAGAGAGACGCAGAGCGCCGAGAGGUCCCACUGGGCCCUCCAGGCCCUCCAGCCCUGGGCUGGCCGGUGAGCUGGGGGGCCCCAGGACAGGCCGCGCCCUCUGCCCUUCAGACACUGGAGGCCUCCGCUGUGGCUGCGCGUUGGCCUGGCCAGGAUCAGGCCUUGAAGCCGUGGUGAACCUCUGUACCCCACGCCCCUUUGGUGAUUGAUGGCGGCGGUGGCUUCUCCCAGCCAGCACCCCAGCCUGGACCCUGCUGGCCACUGGGUCUCCCAGCCCAAGCGUGCCCGGCCUCGACAGAGCCCCAGCUGAGCUGCCGGGAUGCAACGCCUUUGGGAGGACCAGGAAACACAACACGGCGGCCGCUCGAAUGCUGCGCAGCGGAGGCCGUUAGGUGGUAGAGGGCUUGGGAAGGCGGCCUAAGGACGCAGGGAGGUUCGGCUGCCUCUUUAGGCCACGGAGCCGUGCAGAUCCGGGUCUCCAGUGACCACUCUGUCCCCAUUGGGCGAGACCAACUCUGCCCCCAACGGACAAAGGCCUUAACAGGCCUGGGAGGUGAGCAAAGUUGCGAACGACGACGGGUGGAACAGUUACUGGCCAUCGGGCCGUUAGUCUUCAUAAAAAACUAAAAAAGACUGGCUGGAUUGUUUCUGCUAAUACAGGACAAAGUAGUAAAUCCAUAUGAUGGUUAUUCAGAGAGAGCAAAUGAGAGGGAAAUGUGUUUCCGUAUCUUCGGUGCCACUGGAAUCUAACAUAUUUAAUUGAGGUAAUAAAAGUCGGAGCUAAUAGAGAAAAAAAGCCUUCAGCAGGGACAAUGAGCAAAUUAGAUGCCUCUCUGCUCAGCGUGAGGUUUUUUCAGCUGCAAAAGUAAAAUGAAUCAACCACGGAAUUACCCCAAGAAACUAAUAGCUACUGCUGUAGUGGUAGAACAUUAAAUAUCUGGGCAAAUAAAUUUUACAUCCUCAGGCUGAUUGUGAGACAAAGUCAGCAAAUUCUAAUUGAGGUGCAUUCUACAAAACACCUGACUACUACUCCUCAAACCGUCAAGUUCUUCAGAAAUAAAGAAGGUUUAAGAAAUUAUUACAGUCAAGAUACAUGGCAACUAAACGUGAUGUGGUAUCCUGUAUGGGAUACAGAAACUGAAAAAGUACAUUAUGUAAAAUCCAAGGAAACCUGAAUCAAGUAUGGAUGUUAAUUAAUAAUAAUAUUCAAUUUUGGUUCAUUAGGUAUGAUAAAUGUAUUACAACAGGGGUCCAAAGUGGCUCCCGCCGGAGGUCGUGGCGCUUGCGAAGGCGAGGUCAUGAGUUCAAGGCUAACCUGAGCAACCUUAUAAGCUCAAACUGAUUGUCAAAAAAAAAAAUGUAUUACAACAAUGAAACAUACUAACCACAGGAUAACUUCCCAAUCCAUACUAAAUGCCCAAUAAUUAUUGUAUAUGAAAACUAUUAUGUUCAUAACUUUACUUUAAAUCUCUAUGUGGUGAUAUUUUCUGGAAAGCAUUUCUUGUCUAUUCAUUUACUCCUCACAAGAAUUCUAUAGUGUAGAUAUUUUUCAUUUACCUUUGGGUAAAAAAGUAAAACAUGAUUUUUUUGCAUCUUGCUUAACAUCACUCAAGUCUUAGGUGGUAGAAAUAGGACUUGAAUUAUAUGAUUACAAAUUCUUUUCUGCAGCAACACAAACCAUGAAAUAUCAACAGCACUGAGAACCUUGAUAGCAGGCAAUAUCUUUGAAUAAUUAAUUCACAUUUCUAAGUGAUAUGUAUAGCAUUAUAUAUUGUAAUGAGUUUUAAAUUAUGUGUUGACAGGUAUCUAAAGAUGAAAAUAGAGGUCAAGUAUUUGGGUUCUGGGAGCAAAUUGCCUAGACUCAAAUCCCACUGUAACACUUUGCAGCUGAAUGACCUGGCCGAAGUUGUCUGUGGUGUGUUUAUUCUGUUCCUUAAAACAUGAUGCUAUGGCAAUAUUUAAAAGGAGCCAAGCCUGCUAACUCAGACAGCAUUUCCAGACCUCCCAUGGAGUGCAUAUUCAUGUACUGGUGCUUUCGUUUCUUUGAAAUAGACUCCCAAAGUGGAAUUUAUGAAACAAAGGUACUAAGAAUUUAUAAUUUUUAUAACGGUGAGCCAAGGUAGUUUAGAAAACGAUAGUUACUUUCACUGGCAAUAUUCAAGUGACAUCGUUUUCUCUUUUUUAUUGUAUUUUUCCAUUUUCUCUGCUCCCAAUCCACAACCCAAAUGUCAGCUAAAAAUAAUCAUUUACAUUUAUUUGAACCUACAUGCCAUGGGUUACU
This is a non-coding RNA of Callithrix jacchus (white-tufted-ear marmoset), 2300 nucleotides long. Lineage: Eukaryota; Metazoa; Chordata; Mammalia; Primates; Cebidae. The record is from RefSeq and is a predicted model, not a curated record.